Non-coding RNA from Oryza meridionalis, 202 nucleotides. Lineage: Eukaryota; Viridiplantae; Streptophyta; Magnoliopsida; Poales; Poaceae. The record is from Rfam.
AAUAAACGCAACGAUGAGUUUUCGUGUCCAACUUUGAUCGUCCGUCUUAUUUGAAAUUUUUUUAUGAUUAGUAUUUUAUUGUUACUAGAAUAUAAAACAUGAGUAGUAUUUUAUGCGUAACUUGUAUUUUUUAGUUUUUUUAAAAAGUUUAAAUAAGACGGAUGAUUAAAGUUGGACACGAAAACUCAUGGUUACGCUUAUU